UCUUACCGGAGUGGGUAUCGGUGCGCUGAGCGCCGGGCUGGCCUGCAGGAUUGCAUCAGUUAAAAGUCUCUCGCCGCUUGGACGGCCGGUGGAAAUUUUCGGGACCAUCUGUCUAUUAUUGAUAUCAUUUAUACUCGCAUUCCACGAACCGUCAAAGGACCUGGCCGAUUGGACACCGAAGCACUGGUGGUGGUUGGUC
This 199-nucleotide ribosomal RNA is filed under the name uncultured eukaryote. RNAcentral's name for it is "partial small subunit ribosomal RNA". The record is from RNAcentral.